Molecule: long non-coding RNA, 334 nt
Filed under: Ananas comosus (pineapple)
Lineage: Eukaryota; Viridiplantae; Streptophyta; Magnoliopsida; Poales; Bromeliaceae
Description: long non-coding RNA (ACOM_LNC036639)
Source: RNAcentral
AUCAUAUAUAACUAAAAUUAAAAUUUUAUAUGAAUAAUAAUUUUUUUAUUUUAAAAAUAUUCUGUAUAUUUUUUCAAGCAUAUAAUUAAUAGCAAGGUAGGCAAUAGCGGGCAUAUGCUGUUACUUGGUAACUUGGAGGGCUUCCGGCUUGGCUACUUAGGGUGAGAGACAGCAAAAGAAAAAGAGAGAAACAUAUUGAAAAUUUAGAGCUCCGUGACAGAAAGAAAGAAAGGAAAAAUGUAUAAAUUUAGUGAAAUUUUGCUCUUUUAUUUGUCUAUUGGAUUUGUUUUUAUGGCUAACAACAUUGGCCUAAUUUUAACUAAAUUGAGAUUAU